AGAGUUUGAUCAUGGCUCAGAACUAACGCUGGCGGCGUGCCUAACACAUGCAAGUCGUACGAGAAAGUUGGCUUCGGCCGAUGAGUAAAGUGGCGCACGGGUGAGUAACGCGUGGAUAAUCUACCCCUCAGUUGGGAAUAACUCAUCGAAAGGUGGGCUAAUACCGAAUAAUACUGCAUGACUUCUGUUGUGUAGUCAAAGAUGGCCUCUGCUUGCAUGCUAUUGCUGAAGGAUGAGUCCGCGUACCAUUAGCUAGUUGGUAGGGUAAUGGCCUACCAAGGCAACGAUGGUUAGCUGGUCUGAGAGGAUGAUCAGCCACACUGGAACUGAGACACGGUCCAGACUCCUACGGGAGGCAGCAGUGAGGAAUAUUGCGCAAUGGGGGAAACCCUGACGCAGCAACGCCGCGUGAGUGAGGAAGGUUUUCGGACCGUAAAGCUCUGUCGAGCGGGAAGAAAUGCAUAAUGGCUAAUAUCCAUUAUGCUUGACGGUACCGCUAAAGGAAGCACCGGCUAACUCCGUGCCAGCAGCCGCGGUAAUACGGGGGGUGCUAGCGUUGUUCGGAAUCAUUGGGCGUAAAGAGCGUGUAGGCGGCUGGAUAAGUCAGAUGUGAAAGCCCUGGGCUUAACCUAGGAAGUGCAUUUGAAACUGUUCAGCUUGAGUAGGGGAGAGGAAAGUGGAAUUCCUGGUGUAGAGGUGAAAUUCGUAGAUAUCAGGAGGAACACCGGUGGCGAAGGCGACUUUCUGGCCCUAUACUGACGCUGAGACGCGAGAGCGUGGGUAGCAAACAGGAUUAGAUACCCUGGUAGUCCACGCUGUAAACGAUGUUCACUAGGUGUUGGGGGGUAUUGACCCUCUCAGUGCCGCAGCUAACGCAUUAAGUGAACCGCCUGGGGAGUACGGU
This 904-nucleotide ribosomal RNA is filed under the name uncultured bacterium. Its description in RNAcentral is "bacterial SSU rRNA". It matches the Rfam family "Bacterial small subunit ribosomal RNA", at positions 8 to 886 of the family's 1533-position model. The record is from RNAcentral.